AGUUGGCAUAGAGUAGUACUGUAUGGAAUAUGAUAAUUAUUGUACUUCCUAUGACAGCUUA
Molecule: microRNA precursor, 61 nt
Filed under: Tribolium castaneum (red flour beetle)
Lineage: Eukaryota; Metazoa; Arthropoda; Insecta; Coleoptera; Tenebrionidae
Description: Tca-Mir-11617-P2_pre stem-loop
Source: RNAcentral